GGGCGAGUGGUGGAAUUGGUAGACACGUAGCGUUCAGGUCGCUAUGGACGUAAGUCUGUGAGGGUUCAAAUCCCUCCUCGCCCACCA
This 87-nucleotide transfer RNA is filed under the name Candidatus Yanofskybacteria bacterium CG10_big_fil_rev_8_21_14_0_10_36_16. RNAcentral's name for it is "tRNA-Leu". It matches the Rfam family "tRNA". From Rfam's summary of the family: Transfer RNA (tRNA) molecules are approximately 80 nucleotides in length. Lineage: Bacteria; Candidatus Yanofskyibacteriota. The record is from RNAcentral.